AACGACGAUAUGCUUUGGGGAGCUGUAAGUAAGCUUUGAUCCAGAGAUUUCCGAAUGGGGAAACCCAGCAUGAGUUAUGUCAUGUUAUCGAUAUGUGAAUACAUAGCAUAUCAGAAGGCACACCCGGAGAACUGAAACAUCUUAGUACCCGGAGGAAGAGAAAGAAAAUUCGAUUCCCUUAGUAGCGGCGAGCGAAACGGGAAGAGCCCAAACCAACAAGCUUGCUUGUUGGGGUUGUAGGACACUCUAUACGGAGUUACAAAGGACGACAUUAGACGAAUCAUCUGGAAAGAUGAAUCAAAGAAGGUAAUAAUCCUGUAGUCGAAAAUGUUGUCUCUCUUGAGUGGAUCCUGAGUACGACGGAGCACGUGAAAUUCCGUCGGAAUCUGGGAGGACCAUCUCCUAAGGCUAAAUACUCUCUAGUGACCGAUAGUGAACCAGUACCGUGAGGGAAAGGUGAAAAGCACCCCGGAAGGGGAGUGAAAUAGAACCUGAAACCGUGUGCUUACAAGUAGUCAGAGCCCGUUAAUGGGUGAUGGCGUGCCUUUUGUAGAAUGAACCGGCGAGUUACGAUUUGAUGCAAGGUUAAGCAGUAAAUGUGGAGCCGUAGCGAAAGCGAGUCUGAAUAGGGCGUUUAGUAUUUGGUCGUAGACCCGAAACCAGGUGAUCUACCCUUGGUCAGGUUGAAGUUCAGGUAACACUGAAUGGAGGACCGAACCGACUUACGUUGAAAAGUGAGCGGAUGAACUGAGGGUAGCGGAGAAAUUCCAAUCGAACCUGGAGAUAGCUGGUUCUCUCCGAAAUAGCUUUAGGGCUAGCCUCAAGUGAUGAUUAUUGGAGGUAGAGCACUGUUUGGACGAGGGGCCCCUCUCGGGUUACCGAAUUCAGACAAACUCCGAAUGCCAAUUAAUUUAACUUGGGAGUCAGAACAUGGGUGAUAAGGUCCGUGUUCGAAAGGGAAACAGCCCAGACCACCAGCUAAGGUCCCAAAAUAUAUGUUAAGUGGAAAAGGAUGUGGCGUUGCCCAGACAACUAGGAUGUUGGCUUAGAAGCAGCCAUCAUUUAAAGAGUGCGUAAUAGCUCACUAGUCGAGUGACACUGCGCCGAAAAUGUACCGGGGCUAAACAUAUUACCGAAGCUGUGGAUUGUCCUUUGGACAAUGGUAGGAGAGCGUUCUAAGGGCGUUGAAGCAUGAUCGUAAGGACAUGUGGAGCGCUUAGAAGUGAGAAUGCCGGUGUGAGUAGCGAAAGACGGGUGAGAAUCCCGUCCACCGAUUGACUAAGGUUUCCAGAGGAAGGCUCGUCCGCUCUGGGUUAGUCGGGUCCUAAGCUGAGGCCGACAGGCGUAGGCGAUGGAUAACAGGUUGAUAUUCCUGUACCACCUAUAAUCGUUUUAAUCGAUGGGGGGACGCAGUAGGAUAGGCGAAGCGUGCGAUUGGAUUGCACGUCUAAGCAGUAAGGCUGAGUAUUAGGCAAAUCCGGUACUCGUUAAGGCUGAGCUGUGAUGGGGAGAAGACAUUGUGUCUUCGAGUCGUUGAUUUCACACUGCCGAGAAAAGCCUCUAGAUAGAAAAUAGGUGCCCGUACCGCAAACCGACACAGGUAGUCAAGAUGAGAAUUCUAAGGUGAGCGAGCGAACUCUCGUUAAGGAACUCGGCAAAAUGACCCCGUAACUUCGGGAGAAGGGGUGCUCUUUAGGGUUAACGCCCAGAAGAGCCGCAGUGAAUAGGCCCAAGCGACUGUUUAUCAAAAACACAGGUCUCUGCUAAACCGUAAGGUGAUGUAUAGGGGCUGACGCCUGCCCGGUGCUGGAAGGUUAAGAGGAGUGGUUAGCUUCUGCGAAGCUACGAAUCGAAGCCCCAGUAAACGGCGGCCGUAACUAUAACGGUCCUAAGGUAGCGAAAUUCCUUGUCGGGUAAGUUCCGACCCGCACGAAAGGCGUAACGAUUUGGGCACUGUCUCAACGAGAGACUCGGUGAAAUCAUAGUACCUGUGAAGAUGCAGGUUACCCGCGACAGGACGGAAAGACCCCGUGGAGCUUUACUGUAGCCUGAUAUUGAAAUUCGGCACAGCUUGUACAGGAUAGGUAGGAGCCUUUGAAACGUGAGCGCUAGCUUACGUGGAGGCGCUGGUGGGAUACUACCCUAGCUGUGUUGGCUUUCUAACCCGCACCACUUAUCGUGGUGGGAGACAGUGUCAGGCGGGCAGUUUGACUGGGGCGGUCGCCUCCUAAAAGGUAACGGAGGCGCUCAAAGGUUCCCUCAGAAUGGUUGGAAAUCAUUCAUAGAGUGUAAAGGCAUAAGGGAGCUUGACUGCGAGACCUACAAGUCGAGCAGGGUCGAAAGACGGACUUAGUGAUCCGGUGGUUCCGCAUGGAAGGGCCAUCGCUCAACGGAUAAAAGCUACCCCGGGGAUAACAGGCUUAUCUCCCCCAAGAGUUCACAUCGACGGGGAGGUUUGGCACCUCGAUGUCGGCUCAUCGCAUCCUGGGGCUGUAGUCGGUCCCAAGGGUUGGGCUGUUCGCCCAUUAAAGCGGUACGCGAGCUGGGUUCAGAACGUCGUGAGACAGUUCGGUCCCUAUCCGUCGUGGGCGUAGGAAAUUUGAGAGGAGCUGUCCUUAGUACGAGAGGACCGGGAUGGACAUACCUCUGGUGUACCAGUUGUCGUGCCAACGGCAUAGCUGGGUAGCUAUGUGUGGACGGGAUAAGUGCUGAAAGCAUCUAAGCAUGAAGCCCCCCUCAAGAUGAGAUUUCCCAACUUCGGUUAUAAGAUCCCUCAAAGAUGAUGAGGUUAAUAGGUUCGAGGUGGAAGCAUGGUGACAUGUGGAGCUGACGAAUACUAAUCGAUCGAAGACUUAAUCAA
This 2860-nucleotide ribosomal RNA is filed under the name Staphylococcus aureus. Its description in RNAcentral is "partial 23S ribosomal RNA". It matches the Rfam family "Bacterial large subunit ribosomal RNA". Lineage: Bacteria; Bacillati; Bacillota; Bacilli; Caryophanales; Staphylococcaceae. The record is from RNAcentral.